This 451-nucleotide ribosomal RNA is filed under the name uncultured bacterium. RNAcentral describes it as "partial 16S ribosomal RNA". It matches the Rfam family "Bacterial small subunit ribosomal RNA", at positions 354 to 796 of the family's 1533-position model. The record is from RNAcentral.
GUGGGGAAUCUUCCGCAAUGGGCGAAAGCCUGACGGAGCAACGCCGCGUGAGUGAAGAAGGCCUUCGGGUCGUAAAGCUCUGUCUUCAGGGACGAAAAGGGAUGGGAGUAAUAUGCCUAUCCUGUGACGGUACCUGAGGAGGAAGCUCCGGCUAACUACGUGCCAGCAGCCGCGGUAAUACGUAGGGAGCGAGCGUUGUCCGGAAUUACUGGGCGUAAAGGGCGCGUAGGCGGGAAUUUAAGUAAGGUGUGAAAACUCCGGGCUCAACCUGGAGACUGCACUUUAAACUGGAUUUCUUGAGGGCAGGAGAGGAAAGUGGAAUUCCUAGUGUAGCGGUGAAAUGCGUAGAUAUUAGGAGGAACACCAGUGUCGAAGGCGACUUUCUGGACUGUACCUGACGCUGAGGCGCGAAAGCGUGGGGAGCGAACAGGAUUAGAUACCCGAGUAGUCC